GCAAACCGGGUCUGCAGUGGAUUUUAACAUCGGAGACAAACCCUCUAGUGCUUGUUUCCCAGUUUAGAGCAACUUUGCUUUCCUAGCUGCACAUCCUGUGUGUGCAAUAACCAGAGGAGUUAAGUUGAUCUCGGGAGGGGAUCAAGCAGCGUAUAAAUGAGAAGAGAGGAGUGUAUUCGAGUGCUAUGGAGGGCAGUAACUGUUGCUGUGACUUUUAAAAGCCUUCCAGGAAAUUCCAUGGAAUUGCACUGAAAGAGACUCUUGGGAUGCCGCUCUCUGGAUUAAAGUUUGGAAAGAAGAAAUUGAAAGAGGAAGAGAGGCACCUUCAGGCAAACAAUCGGGACUUUAAUCUGGAGUUCGAAUAUG
Long non-coding RNA from Terrapene triunguis (Three-toed box turtle), 366 nucleotides. RefSeq lists it as uncharacterized. Lineage: Eukaryota; Metazoa; Chordata; Testudines; Emydidae. The record is from RefSeq and is a predicted model, not a curated record. The transcript has 3 exons.